GGUUUCUUUUUCCUUUUUCAAUAUUCAUUUCCUUUUUCGGUUUCUAGUUCCUUAUUCGGUUUCUAUUUCCUUAUUGGAUUUUCAUUUCCUUAUUCAAUUUCCAUUUCCUUAUUCGGUUUCUUUUUCCUUAUUCGGUUUCUUUUUCCUUAUUCGGUGUCUUUUUCUUUUUUCAAUUUCGGUUUCUAUUUCCUUAUUCGGUUUCUAUUUCCUUUUUCGAUUUUCAUUUCCUUAUUCGGUUUCCAUUUCCUUUUUCGAUAUUCAAAUUUUGAAAAAUAUUACAAGUCCAAAC
RNAcentral lists this long non-coding RNA (289 nucleotides) under Mytilus galloprovincialis (Mediterranean mussel). The record is from RNAcentral. Lineage: Eukaryota; Metazoa; Mollusca; Bivalvia; Mytilida; Mytilidae.